AGAGUUUGAUCCUGGCUCAGGACGAACGCUGGCGGCGUGCUUAACACAUGCAAGUCGAGCGGUAAGGCACCUUCGGGUGUACACGAGCGGCGAACGGGUGAGUAACACGUGAGUAAUCUGCCCUUCACUUCGGGAUAACCGCCGGAAACGGUGGCUAAUACCGGAUACGACGCACUCUCGCAUGGGAUGUGCGUGGAAAGUCUUAUCGGUGGAGGAUGUGCUCGCGGCCUAUCAGCUUGUUGGUGAGGUAACGGCUCACCAAGGCUUCGACGGGUAGCCGGCCUGAGAGGGUGACCGGCCACACUGGGACUGAGACACGGCCCAGACUCCUACGGGAGGCAGCAGUGGGGAAUAUUGCACAAUGGGCGAAAGCCUGAUGCAGCAACGCCGCGUGAGGGAUGACGGCCUUCGGGUUGUAAACCUCUUUCAGCAGGGAAGAAGCGAAAGUGACGGUACCUGCAGAAGAAGCACCGGCUAACUACGUGCCAGCAGCCGCGGUAAUACGUAGGGUCCGAGCGUUGUCCGGAAUUAUUGGGCGUAAAGGGCUCGUAGGCGGUCUGUCGCGUCGGGAGUGAAAACUUACAGCUUAACUGUGAGCGUGCUUCCGAUACGGGCAGACUUGAGGUAUUCAGGGGAGAACGGAAUUCCUGGUGUAGCGGUGAAAUGCGCAGAUAUCAGGAGGAACACCGGUGGCGAAGGCGGUUCUCUGGGAAUAUCCUGACGCUGAGGAGCGAAAGUGUGGGGAGCGAACAGGAUUAGAUACCCUGGUAGUCCACACCGUAAACGUUGGGCGCUAGGUGUGGGAUCCAUUCCACGGGUUCCGUGCCGCAGCUAACGCAUUAAGCGCCCCGCCUGGGGAGUACGGCCGCAAGGCUAAAACUCAAAGGAAUUGACGGGGGCC
Molecule: ribosomal RNA, 901 nt
Filed under: uncultured Nocardioides sp.
Lineage: Bacteria; Bacillati; Actinomycetota; Actinomycetes; Propionibacteriales; Nocardioidaceae
Description: bacterial SSU rRNA
Rfam family: Bacterial small subunit ribosomal RNA
Source: RNAcentral